GAUGAACGCUAGCUACAGGCUUAACACAUGCAAGUCGAGGGGAAACGACAUCGAAAGCUUGCUUUUGAUGGGCGUCGACCGGCGCACGGGUGAGUAACGCGUAUCCAACCUGCCCAUCACUUGGGGAUAACCUUGCGAAAGUAAGACUAAUACCCAAUGAUAUCUCUAGAAGACAUCUGAAAGAGAUUAAAGAUUUAUCGGUGAUGGAUGGGGAUGCGUCUGAUUAGCUUGUUGGCGGGGUAACGGCCCACCAAGGCAACGAUCAGUAGGGGUUCUGAGAGGAAGGUCCCCCACAUGGGAACUGAGACACGGUCCAAACUCCUACGGGAGGCAGCAGUGAGGAAUAUUGGUCAAUGGGCGAGAGCCUGAACCAGCCAAGUAGCGUGCAGGAAGACGGCCCUAUGGGUGGUAAACUGCUUUUAUAAGGGAAUAAAGUGAGAGUCGUGACUCUUUUUGUAUGUACCUUAUGAAUAAGGACCGGCUAAUUCCGUG
Molecule: ribosomal RNA, 492 nt
Filed under: uncultured bacterium
Lineage: Bacteria
Description: partial 16S ribosomal RNA
Rfam family: Bacterial small subunit ribosomal RNA
Source: RNAcentral